This 214-nucleotide unclassified non-coding RNA is filed under the name Hevea brasiliensis (rubber tree). The record is from RNAcentral. Lineage: Eukaryota; Viridiplantae; Streptophyta; Magnoliopsida; Malpighiales; Euphorbiaceae.
UUCAAAUCCUAUAUCUAUCGCCGUUGGCCUUCACUAUUCUAAUACCAUGUUGAGAAUCAUGGGCCUAGGAAUGUGGAUCAACAAACAGACUCACCUCUAUGCUAAAUUGGGCGAAACUCGAACUCUCCAUCACAAAAAUGGUCUAAGCCAUUUUCAUUUGGUUUGCAUCUCUUUUUAUAAAGCCCUUUAAUUUCUUAUCCUUGGCUGAUGUGGG